CAAUAGCGUAUAUUAAAGUUGUUGCGGUUAAAAAGCUCGUAGUUGGAGUUCUGCCAGGUGACGCUCGUCCGCCCAAGUGGUGUGUACAGGGCGUGCAUCUGGCCCUUUCAAGGGGAACGUGUCUGCUCUUUAUUGAGUGGUGCGAGAUCCUUGACUUUUACUUUGAGGAAAUCAGAGUGUUCCAAGCAGGCUCUCGUCGUGUAUAGCUCAGCAUGGAAUAAUAGCAUUGGACUUCGUUUUCUAAGCUGUUGGUUGCAAGAAGCGAGGUAAUGAUGAAGAGGGAUAGUUGGGGGGUAUUCGUAUUUAACUGUCAGAGGUGAAAUUCUUGGAUUUUUUUAAAAGACGAACAAUUGCGAAGGCAUCUACCCAGGAUGUUUUUGUUGAUCAAGAACGAAAGUUAGGGGAUCGAAGACGAUCAGAU
Molecule: ribosomal RNA, 421 nt
Filed under: uncultured eukaryote
Lineage: Eukaryota
Description: bacterial SSU rRNA
Rfam family: Eukaryotic small subunit ribosomal RNA
Source: RNAcentral